UACGUAGGGUGCGAGCGUUGUCCGGAAUUAUUGGGCGUAAAGAGCUCGUAGGCGGUGUGUCACGUCGUUCGUGAAAACCUGCAGCUUAACUGUGGGCGUGCGGUCGAUACGGGCAUCACUGGAGUUCGGCAGGGGAGACUGGAAUUCCUGGUGUAGCGGUGAAAUGCGCAGAUAUCGGGAGGAACACCGGUGGCGAAGGCGGCGACCUGGGUAGAUACUGACGCUGAGGUGCGAAAGCGUGGGGAGCAAACAGG
This 254-nucleotide ribosomal RNA is filed under the name uncultured bacterium. RNAcentral's name for it is "partial 16S ribosomal RNA". It matches the Rfam family "Bacterial small subunit ribosomal RNA", at positions 524 to 776 of the family's 1533-position model. The record is from RNAcentral.